RNAcentral lists this ribosomal RNA (253 nucleotides) under uncultured bacterium. Its description in RNAcentral is "partial 16S ribosomal RNA". It matches the Rfam family "Bacterial small subunit ribosomal RNA", at positions 524 to 776 of the family's 1533-position model. The record is from RNAcentral.
UACGUAGGUGACAAGCGUUAUCCGGAUUUAUUGGGCGUAAAGCGCACGCAGGCGGUCUAUCAAGUCUGACGUGAAAUCUCUCGGCUUAACCGGGAGCGGUCGUUGGAAACUGAUGGACUUGAGGCGAUGAGAGGGGUGUGGAAUUCCGGGUGUAGCGGUGGAAUGCGUAGAGAUCCGGAGGAAGACCGGUGGCGAAGGCGGUCUGCUGGGCAGUUUCUGACACUGAUGCGCGACAGCGUGGGGAGCAAACAGG